AACAAAGAAGAAAAACAGAUCUGC
RNAcentral lists this non-coding RNA (24 nucleotides) under Arabidopsis thaliana (thale cress). The record is from RNAcentral. Lineage: Eukaryota; Viridiplantae; Streptophyta; Magnoliopsida; Brassicales; Brassicaceae.